Molecule: long non-coding RNA, 919 nt
Organism: Odontomachus brunneus
Lineage: Eukaryota; Metazoa; Arthropoda; Insecta; Hymenoptera; Formicidae
Exons: 4
Source: RefSeq, a predicted model, not a curated record
CGGAAAGUCGACGAUGUGAAACCGCUGGUGUCGCCGCAGAAGUGGCCGUAUCUAUUCCUCAAGGACCUCACUCGGCCAGAGAGAAGUCAUUGGUCAACGUGACGUCAGCGUCGCCCACGAGAUACUUCUGGAUGUGGAUCAAACUCGUUCCGUUUAUAUGGCCGACAUGGCGCAGGUGCUUACCUGGGGAGUCAGGAUGCAGCCAGGCCUGUCCGCGUUCGUCUGACCGUCGUGCAACUCAACCUGAAACCGGAAGCGCCGCUUUCUGCCCUGUUGCCCACGAACAAUGAGAUCGGGAGGAUUCCUGGGAGGACGUGAGCACGAUCGAACUACGAGGAAUGAUGGCAAAAAUGAGAGAGAAAUAUCUUACGUUAUCUUACGAGACCAUGUAUUAUUGAGGCGGAAUUAUUGCGCGUGUUUAAUACUUUUAAUUGCAAUCAACGAACGGAGUGAGGCCAAGGAGAGCGUGAAGCGCAAAUAUGUUGGCGCGGGAAAUAUCAACCGAAGUGUGAAGCAGGUUCUAUAAAUAGGCUCUCUGAAGUGAAGCAAGUUCUAUAAAAAUCCGGGAGAUAACUAAAUCUCCUUGCUCUCAUCUCCCUUGAUUUCAGUUGUAAUUAAUAAUGGGGAUCCUAGUGCCCGAUUAUCGACAUUUCCAUACGUGACACGUGGACGACGCAGCACUGCGCAGCGCCGAAACGACCGGCAAGAUCUUUUCACGGUCGCUAUCGUCACGUGGUCGCUCGCGUACGUGCAGCAACAGGUGUGACGCAACAGGUAAUCAAACUGUCAGCUGAAUGCGCCUCCGUGGAUAAUCUAAUGAUCACGUGCUGUGUAACAUAAAGUCCCGCUUCGGCUUCAACAUAAACUCUCCAAAAAAGUACAAUUUAUCCAAGAGGCAUCCUCGCUCACUGUCAUACAA